AGUUAAGGCCUUUGUCCGUUGAGGUCAGGACUAGGUGGUCUCAGCCAAUGGGGACAGAGCGGUCACGGGGACCGGGUUUGCGCGGCUCCGAGGCCUAACCAGGCAGCCGAGCCUGCCUGCGUCCCGAGGCCGCCUUCCCGGGACCUCUGCACCCUCAGGUCCUCCGUUGGGUGGUGUUCGGGCGGCCGCCAGGCUUCCCGGCCCGCCACUCCCGCUGCCACCCAAAGGCGCUGCGUGCCGGCGGCUUGGUGGAGUUUCGUCGAGGCCCGGCAGGCUUGGGCCAGGAGAUCCAGCGGCCGGGCGGGGUCCCGGCUGAGAGAGGCCGAUGCCGCCGUCAGUCACCGAGAUGGGGGUAAUCACUUUGAUCAACAUGACGAAGGACACUUGGAAACUGAACAAGCAUCACUUGACAAGCCUACAGAAUCCAUAAGAUGGAUCAUUGCUUAAUUUCGGGUCUUAGCCAGUUAGAUUUACCUUCAGCUUUAACAAAAAAUUGGCCGUCAAAACCUGAGUCCUGUCCUCUUGCUCUCCUCCCCGGACAGCAUGAACUUCACCACUUGCUCCACCCUCUCCACCAACUACCAGUCCCUGGGCACUGUCCAGGCACCCAGCUAUGUGCCCAGCUGGUCAGCAGUGUGGCCAGUGUCUAUGCAGGCAUCAGG
This 662-nucleotide long non-coding RNA is filed under the name Homo sapiens (human). Its description in RNAcentral is "non-protein coding lnc-IFT20-7:2". Lineage: Eukaryota; Metazoa; Chordata; Mammalia; Primates; Hominidae. The record is from RNAcentral.